CCCUUUGGUAUUUUUAAUAAAGAAAAGAGCCCUUUUUGCUCUGAAUUUACAACAAAAACCAAUUAUAUACUGUAUCAUUUUUUAACGAAAUGACUUGAAAGGCAUAAUAAAAAGAAGAGAGGAUAAAAUUAGAAAGAGAUUUUCCUCUUCAAAUUGAAUGGCAUUUACACAUCCUUUUCUAGAUUCUAGAAAGCUCUAGACAAAGAUCGUAAAGUAUAUGUCUCUCCAUCUACUAUCUUGUGGCUGAAUAAUUUUAGGUUCAAUUUAUAGUGGUUCUUGAAAUUUUGUUCCCAUAAUUGAACUCAGCCUUGUGACUUUUGA
This 321-nucleotide long non-coding RNA is filed under the name Capsicum annuum. Its description in RNAcentral is "long non-coding RNA (CANN_LNC001650)". The record is from RNAcentral. Lineage: Eukaryota; Viridiplantae; Streptophyta; Magnoliopsida; Solanales; Solanaceae.